RNAcentral lists this ribosomal RNA (484 nucleotides) under Baumannella alameda. RNAcentral's name for it is "partial 16S ribosomal RNA". It matches the Rfam family "Bacterial large subunit ribosomal RNA", at positions 1846 to 2583 of the family's 2925-position model. The record is from RNAcentral. Lineage: Eukaryota; Metazoa; Arthropoda; Insecta; Plecoptera; Perlodidae.
UGAGGUCUGGCCUGCCCACUGAAUUCUUGGAGUUUAAAGGGCCGCGGUAUUUUGACCGUGCAAAGGUAGCAUAAUCAUUAGUCUUUUAAUUGGAGGCUGGUAUGAAUGGUUGGACGAGGCAUUGACUGUCUCAGUGUAAAUGAUAUUAGAAUUUAAUUUUUAAGUUAAAAAGCUUAAAUGUAUUUAGAGGACGAGAAGACCCUAUAGAGCUUUAUAUUAUCUGUUUCUUUUUUAUUUAGUGAUGUUUUGAAAGUAGGCAGUAAAAUAUUUUGUUGGGGUGACAGGAAGAUAAGAUAAACUCUUUUUUUUAUGAAUACAUUGAUUUAUGAGUGAUUGAUCCAUUAAUAAUGAUUAAAAGACUAAGUUACCUUAGGGAUAACAGCGUAAUCUUUUUUGAGAGUUCUUAUCGACAAAAAGGGUUGCGACCUCGAUGUUGGAUUAAGGGUAAUUUUGGGUGUAGACGUUCAAAGUUUAGGUCUGUUCG